This 800-nucleotide long non-coding RNA is filed under the name Phoenix dactylifera (date palm). Its description in RNAcentral is "long non-coding RNA (PDAC_LNC011541)". Lineage: Eukaryota; Viridiplantae; Streptophyta; Magnoliopsida; Arecales; Arecaceae. The record is from RNAcentral.
AUACCAAAAUUAGGCAAGUUGAAAGAUAAAACAAAAUCAAUUCAUUUUGCCUAAAUAGAAAUAUACUUCUCUUCUCCUUUUUACAAAUUUAUUCAACUUUCAGAUUUUAACGAUGAUUGUGAACGACAAAUCUGAAAUUUCUUUUCAAUAAUACCAAACAAAAAAAAAUUAUGUAGUAUUUCAAACAUUCAAUCAAAUUAUCCAAGCAUGGAGCAUUACAAAAUAUUGAGAACCCAUAAUUCAAGACAUCAUGCCACAUGCAAAAUAUAUUAUGUGUUAAGUCAUGCAUUAAAAUAACAAGCAUGUCAAUGAUCAAAAUCAAUUCUUUUCAAAUAAACUCCCCCUAUUUAAAUAUAAUCUUGCACUGAUUUCAUCCUUAAGGUGUGUUUCCAAGUGAUUAAAGCUUGACUUGAUUCUUCUUAGAUACUUUUAUUUACUUUGUCAUUCAUUUUUACUUUCUUAUGCUCUAUACUCUAUUUGCUCCCUAUCCGGUGGAGUUGGAAGGGGCACGAGGUACUACCACUAGCCUCCCUCUUGUGCCGUCCCUAAUAUACCCUACACUGAAUAGUUGGGUCAAAUAGUGCCGGGUACUACCACUAGCCUCCCCAUUGGCACCAUCCCUAUGAUGAGCAAUAUAGAAAGGUUAAAAUGUUCACUUUAAACUCUCCCUCUAUUUAAGUGUAAUUCAUUACGGAUUUUAUCCUUCCAAAAGAAUGCUCACACAAGUGCUGAAUAUAUUAUGCUUGUUUUGCUUUUUCUUAAGAUUGGAGUAUUUGCCUUUACUUAGAUUUUACUUCUCU